CCUGUAUCGUAGGUACUUACCACGCAUAAUAGCGUGCAGUCUCCUAUGCCAUAAAAGGAACAAAAUAAACAACCGAAAAUAUUAGCGUAAAAAUGCCAUUCGCACUUGCCCCAUCCCGCACGCAGAACAUUGAUGACGAUGACCGCCGCACUCCAAUGCCAUAAGUCGAAAACAGAGCGACUACGGAGUGGCGACGGCAGCAAAACAUUCCAUAUUUUCGCUGCGGCGAAUUUGAAACUGCCACGGAAUGUGGCGGUGCGACAGCGCGGCAGGACUAGCGACCAAGCUGACGCUCUGGUGAAAGCUGUCUUUACAUCCCGGGACCAUAUCAACUCGUCAGCCAAAUAAGACGGGAUUCUGUAUUUUAUAACCCCAAACAGAACUGUAGCUAAGUGUAGAUCUCUUCGCAUUUUCAUUUUCAAAAUAUUUGCGUUGUUUAUGUAAGGGGUUACGUGCGU
This is a long non-coding RNA of Hyposmocoma kahamanoa, 458 nucleotides long. RefSeq lists it as uncharacterized. The record is from RefSeq and is a predicted model, not a curated record. The transcript is spliced from 3 exons. Lineage: Eukaryota; Metazoa; Arthropoda; Insecta; Lepidoptera; Cosmopterigidae.